This 412-nucleotide ribosomal RNA is filed under the name uncultured picoeukaryote. RNAcentral describes it as "SSU rRNA". It matches the Rfam family "Eukaryotic small subunit ribosomal RNA", at positions 137 to 549 of the family's 1831-position model. The record is from RNAcentral.
ACUUGGAUAACUGCGGUAAUUCUGGAGCUAAUACAUGCUACAAAGCCCUGACUUGCGGAGGGGCGCUUUUAUUAGAUCAAGACCAAACGGCUCGUCCGUCUACUGGUGAUUCUGAAUAACUUUUUGCUGAUCGUAUGGCUCUACGCCGACGACGUGUCCGUCCAAGGUGUGCCCUAUCAACUGUCGACUGUGGCAUAUACGCCCACAGUGGUUUUGACGGGUAACGGGGAAUUAUGGUUCGAUUCCCGAGAGGGAGCCUGAGAAACGGCUACCACUUCUAAGGAAGGCAGCAGGCACGCAAAUUACCCAAUGGGCGAAAACCGAGGUAGUGACAAAAAAUAACGAUACCGGUCUCUUCCGAGGCCCGGUAAUCGGAAUGAGUACACUUUAAAUCCUUUAACGAGGAACAAUU